CGCGGGAUGGAGCAGUUGGUAGCUCAUCAGGCUCAUAAUCUGAAGGUCGCAGGUUCGAAUCCUGCUCCCGCAA
This 73-nucleotide transfer RNA is filed under the name Malacoplasma penetrans HF-2. RNAcentral describes it as "Mycoplasma penetrans HF-2 tRNA". It matches the Rfam family "tRNA". Rfam says of the family: Transfer RNA (tRNA) molecules are approximately 80 nucleotides in length. Their secondary structure includes four short double-helical elements and three loops (D, anti-codon, and T loops). Lineage: Bacteria; Bacillati; Mycoplasmatota; Mycoplasmoidales; Mycoplasmoidaceae. The record is from Rfam by way of RNAcentral.